This 201-nucleotide unclassified non-coding RNA is filed under the name Hevea brasiliensis (rubber tree). Lineage: Eukaryota; Viridiplantae; Streptophyta; Magnoliopsida; Malpighiales; Euphorbiaceae. The record is from RNAcentral.
UGAUGAUGUGAUUGAUCUUGUUAUUCCAAGAGGUAGCAAUAAACUUGUUUCUCAAAUUAAAGCUGCAACAAAAAUUCCUGUUCUUGGCCAUGCUGAUGGUAUUUGCCACGUUUUCAUUGAUAAGUCUGCUGACUUGGAUAUGGCCAAACGUAUUGUGUUGGAUGCAAAAACAGAUUACCCAGCAGCCUGCAAUGCAAUGGA